AUUGAACGCUGGCGGCAGGCCUAACACAUGCAAGUCGAGCGGAUGAAGGGAGCUUGCUCCUGGAUUCAGCGGCGGACGGGUGAGUAAUGCCUAGGUAUCUGCCUGGUAGUGGGGGAUAACGUCCGGAAACGGGCGCUAAUACCGCAUACGUCCUGAGGGAGAAAGUGGGGGAUCUUCGGACCUCACGCUAUCAGAUGAGCCUAGGUCGGAUUAGCUAGUUGGUGGGGUAAAGGCCUACCAAGGCGACGAUCCGUAACUGGUCUGAGAGGAUGAUCAGUCACACUGGAACUGAGACACGGUCCAGACUCCUACGGGAGGCAGCAGUGGGGAAUAUUGGACAAUGGGCGAAAGCCUGAUCCAUCCAUGCCGCGUGUGUGAAGAAGGUCUUCGGAUUGUAAAGCACUUUAAGUUGGGAGGAAGGGCAGUAAGUUAAUACCUUGCUGUUUUGACGUUACCAACAGAAUAAGCACCGGCUAACUUCGUG
RNAcentral lists this ribosomal RNA (484 nucleotides) under uncultured bacterium. Its description in RNAcentral is "partial 16S ribosomal RNA". It matches the Rfam family "Bacterial small subunit ribosomal RNA", at positions 30 to 507 of the family's 1533-position model. The record is from RNAcentral.